UACGUAGGGAGCAAGCGUUGUCCGGAAUCAUUGGGCGUAAAGCGCGCGUAGGUGGCUUCGUAAGUCCGCUGUGAAAGUCAAAGGCUCAACCUUUGAAAGCCGGUGGAUACUGUGGAGCUAGAGUCCGGAAGAGGCGAGUGGAAUUCCUGGUGUAGCGGUGGAAUGCGCAGAUAUCAGGAGGAACACCAAUAGCGAAGGCAGCUCGCUGGGACGGUACUGACACUGAGGCGCGAAAGCGUGGGGAGCGAACAGG
RNAcentral lists this ribosomal RNA (253 nucleotides) under uncultured bacterium. RNAcentral describes it as "partial 16S ribosomal RNA". It matches the Rfam family "Bacterial small subunit ribosomal RNA", at positions 524 to 776 of the family's 1533-position model. The record is from RNAcentral.